GGCGGCCAUGUUGGCCCCAGCGCUGUGUUUUCAGCAGCUUUGUUGUGGCCUCUUCCCCCCAGCCCCCACCUCACCACCCGCAACUGUUCGCUCCCCUUCCGGCGGCGGUGGCGAAAUGGAAGCGACCUGGGGCGCCUUCAUAUUUCAGGUCUCGUUGCUGGGUAGUGACAGGAGUAGGAACCCUGGUUGACGUCUUUCCAUCUAUCUCUGCUCUUCUCACCUCCCACGGGUCCAGGUGUAUCAUGCCAUGCUUUAGAUCUCAGUACAGACCAGCGGACAGACUUUUAGCAGCCGAUAUCUCUCAGCAGCAACACCAGCAGCACGUGCAGAAUAGCCUUCUGCCAAUAUUGCAUUCAUCGACCGAGCCACGUGAGCAAGCACCCGUGACAACACUGCCCCAGCCUCAGAAAACCCCGGAUCCCAAAGAAGCACCCAAACCUACGGUAGAGAAGAAGGAGAAGACCAGAACACCCGUGAUUUGCAGUUACUGCAGCAAGGCAUUCAGAGACAGUUAUCACCUCCGGCGACAUGAGUCAUGCCACACAGGAAUCAAGUUGGUCUCACGGCCAAGGAAGGUACCGACCAUGGUUUCGCUGAUGUCAUCGGCACCUGGCAUUGGUGGCACGACAACACUGGUGUCAACCGUUGCAGGGAUGCUGACUUCGACCGACGCUUCCACCUCCACUGUCACCAGCAGCACCUCGGCAGUCACGACCAGCAAGAAUGCCAGCAGACGAGUGAAGAAGAACCACGGCUGCGAACUGUGCGGAAAAGCAUUCCGCGACGUUUACCACCUCAACCGGCACAAACUUUCUCACUCGGAUGAAAAGCCGUUCGAGUGCCCGGUUUGCCAGCAACGCUUCAAGAGGAAGGACCGCAUGAGUUAUCACGUGCGCUCGCACGAAGGGGGCAUCAACAAACCAUACAUCUGCAGCCUUUGUGGGAAAGGAUUCUCCAGGCCUGAUCAUCUGAGCUGUCAUGUCAAGCAUGUUCAUUCCACAGAGAGACCCUUCAAAUGUCAAACUUGUGAUGCAGCUUUUGCCACCAAAGACCGCCUGCGUUCACACAUGAUACGCCAUGAGGGGAAGGUGUCUUGCCACAUCUGUGGUAAACUGCUGAGUGCAGCUUACAUCUCCAACCACAUCAAAAUGCAUAAUCACAACCAAAAUCACAACUGCAAUGUUUGUAACAAAGGUUUCACCACGGCUGCCUACCUUCGGGUCCAUGCUCGAAAUCACCAUGGUGUCCAUUACAAGUCUCAAAGAUUUGUGUGUGAUCAGUGUGGCCUGCAAUGUCAGUCCCACAACCACCUGAUUGGCCACAAGAAAAGUCACAUGGGAGAGACCCCAACUUCCAGUGCCCCCUCUGUGGCAGCAGUGGCUUUAAAAGAUUUUCCUCCCAUGGAUGCCACUUUUUCCCUCGCAUCCCCCUUCAGGGGAGGACUUCACUACAGCUACUGUCAAUGCCACUCCACAAUUGGCCAGCAGGAAACGCAAUUGAAAUGGGGCGAGUUGGAUCCUGCCUGCUUUCCUGCCACCUCACCCCACCUGACAUGGAAUGCCUUGGUACUGCGUGGCGCUUCAUCUAGCAGCCCAGUUGAGAACUGACAAAACUUACCAAACUGAGCUCUGCAGUGACCAAUUCCUGAAGACUUUUCGAAUUGAAAUUAUGUUAAAAGUGGAUACACCGGUGAGGUUUGCCACACUCCAGCUCCUGCCGCAAGUCCAGUGAAUAUAACAAUUAGGCCUGUGGAGAGUGUGCCUUUUCUGUCCCAGGUCUUGCCGACAUCUCCACCAUGGUGAAAGAUAUUAGAAGCAAGUGCCACGGUAGCAAUGGAUGAGUUAGGACCUUAUUUCCCAGCAGAUAUGCUGGUACCUGAAAUGAAUUAAACCCAGGAUCUUCUGUUAAUUCUACGAAGAAGAUGAAGAGAUGUUGAGUGGUCUAUCUCCAAGGAGAAAAAAAAAAAUCAGUUUUGUGGUUUUUCUGACUAUGUAAAAUUGUGGUCUAAUGUCCAGGCUCUGGAUUUAUUGACUAGUUAAAAGGUAGGUUAUACAUCUGUCUGUAUCAUUCCUGUACCUCCAUCUGGGAAUAUAUUGGUAAUUUGUGUUGAAAAAUGGACACACAUACUAAUGUCUAAAUAUGUAUAUAGACAAAGCUGUUCUACUUAAUGGAUCCUGUUCUGUCAGAACAAGAACAUGAAAUGAAUUUUAAUUGGUGAAAGGCUGAAGAAUUGCUUUUCACUUAUUUGGUUGUAUACUGUCACCACUGCUUAAUGUUGCAUCCAUUUGUACAAUUUGAACUCAUUACACUGAGCAAGGACAGACAGCAAGAAAAAUAAACAGUUCCUAGGUGGAACGCCUGGAAGGUGCAGGUAUUUGAAAUGUUAUACAGUACCUGCACUUUUCUUGGAAUCUACAUGCCCGGAAAUCAUAAUUUACUAUAUAAAUGCAUCUAAAGUUGCAACCUUGUUUUGAGGAAUGCUCUGAAUCACAUUGGUGUUACUUUGCACUGGUGUAUAAGUUGUUCCCCUACAUUAUUGAGGACUUGAAAAUGAGCAUCAUAUACAAGCAGGUGCUGGCUCUUACUGUACUGUCUCUUCUGUAACUAUUGUCAUUUGAUUUGGCUCUUAAGUUGGAGUGUUAUAGAAAUGUUACCCAUCUUAUGCUUUUUAUUUUAGUCUUCAAAUGUGGAAUUUAACUAUUUUUUAUCUGCAAGUAUUGGGACUUUGUUUCUCUGGAAUACAGGUAUGGACAAUUCAACUUGUCCAGUGUUCAUUGCUAUUAAUUUUGGAUCAGUCAGCAGACCAUGUUCCCACAGACAAACAGUAAUUCAUAAUGUCACACUCUAUUCUGUUUUGUAGCAUUGACACCCUGGUGGUAAAAAUGGAGUACUUGAAAUGUGCCCCUUAAAUCCAGUUUAUGAACUAGUUUUGUUUUAGAAAGGAAGUGAUCAUCAUAGUUUAGCUUUGCUCCUCCUGAAACCAUUAAUGGUAUCAAGACAAAUGAAAGUAAUUACCUUUACAGAUUCUCCAAAGUAAUAGUUUGUACAGUUUGUAUAAUCCCCCCCCGCAACCCCCCACCUGCCGCACCCCCAGCAUUUUACCUUAUUGAAACUUGCAGAAUCAUGAUUCUCUAUUUAAUAAGAAAUUCAACUUUAUUUCAAACCAUUCAAAAUGAGAUGGAUUCAUCUUUCUGGUUAUGUUGCCUACAGAGUAUUUCCCUCAAUUCUGUAUGCUUUCAUUGUGUUGGGUUUCUACUUUGCUUCAUGGUGCCACUUGCUGUACUCCCCUAAAACUUCCAGAAGCUGGUAAAGCAGUAAAUAUAUUUAAGGUAUUUGGAGGGCAUAGUGAGUAACUGGACUGAGCUAUACAAAUUAGAAAGGUGUUGGGUGAAGGAGAAAAAUUAGGCAGUGUUCACACUCCUGAUUGCUGGUCAGUUGCCUUUGCUGGGAAACGUGUGUGGACUGGGACUGAUGACAAUAUUGGGCUUGGGAAUGAUGUCAAGAAACCCACUGUGGUGGAAUAGCCAGCCAGUGCUCAUUGUCUAGGGUCACGUAUGAAGCAAUUUGGUGAGGUACUGAAUGGAAUUUGUUGCCUGCAACAAUAUGGCAGCAGGUGUCUCCACCUUAUGAUCUGGAACAGAAAAAAAUUAUUAAGAGGAAAAAUAUUGAUUUGAGUUGUGCACUUUAUUCUGUGAGUUGCUCAAUUUUUUUUUUUCAGAAGUGAUUGAAAUACUAAUUGAUCCUCCAUUAUUCUGCAGUAUGCACAAUAUGCCAACCAGUGUGAGAAAGGCAAUAGCUCAGGAUUUUACUAGUAGAUGUUUAACAACCAAUCUGUGGUGUCUAAAGCCAGAUGUAACUUUUUGUUUCUUUGUCUCUUUAAAGUGUCCAGCAUUUUGGGAAUGAUUUUCUAACUUUAAAUUUCCAAAACACAGCUUAUUGUAACACUCUGGUGAUUCUGGUUUCACAGUUUGGUCUUUUACAUGUUUUUACCUGUUCAGCAAUAUUUUUAGUGAGGUACAGUAUUAAUAUGCUGUAGUUUAAUUACACCCCACUGUAUGUCCUGGUGUCUAAUAUUCUCGCGUCUAGAGUGUACUAUAUUCAUGAACCAUGCAAUAUUUUAGCCUGUUGUUUCAUUUGAAGAAGGACUGAUCUGCCUCAUGUUUUAAUGAUCGGAAUUUGCAGCUAUGGCAUGGUUCGUAAUUAAAACUUCUCAAGUGCACAAGUAAUAUCUACAGUGUAUCUAUCCAUUUCUAUUGCUUUUUGAAUAUCCAGAGCUCACAGUAUAUUACCAACAUACAGCUAUAGUAGUGCAUUUUAGUGACCACAUUUCCUUGAUAGACAUUUUACAGCGUAUUCUGAAUCUAUUUCCUGGUAUAAACCAGGCUUCGUUGCUUUCCUCCAACUUUGGCCUUCUUCCUAACCCUUUCCCAAUUCCUCAUACAGGGCUGAGCAGGUUAUAGUUGCAGGAGGUCAAAUUAAUUUUCAUUUUUUGGAAAGGUGCCCUUUGGAGGGAUGAAGUACAACUGAAACACAUUACUCCCUUUGAAACUAUCACUUGUACUGAAAAAAGAUAAAUUUGAUCAACCUGUGAGAAGGAAAUAGAAAUGCUUUAGUUUCAAAUGAAGGUUUUUUUUUAAGAAUUAAGGCGUGGGUGGAACCAAAACAAAAGGCAAUUGUUGGACAUCUAAAAGGAAAACUCUUAUGCUGGAGACGUGCAGCUAGCCCAUUAACAUGGGUAAAGAGAAGCAUACCUGAUUAAUGUUUCUACUUUUUUUAGAAUUUAAAACUGAAAGUUUUGCCACAUCUCUCGAGUCCUUUGUGCAAUUAUUGAUUAUGAAAUAGAGGUAUAAGUUGUUUCCCAAUACCAUUGCUUUUCACACGUGCAUGUUUGAAAACUGUUUACAACUGCGCUCUGUACAGUAGUGCUGCUUACUACCUCAGCAACCUUUUCAUUUUCCUCAUUGGGAAAUAAAGCACCAUGACCCAUUGUACACUUUAGAAAAUUGUUGAAGAAUUAUGCACCCUAAUGUAAAUUUAAAAUGUUCUCAGACUUAACUAUUUUUGUUAAAAUUAUGCAUUGUGUAUAUUUGUAAUGCAUUGGUUAAGCUUUAUUUUGCUUUUCUUUAUAACCUUGCUCUACAAUUAAUCAUGGACUUAAAAAAUGAAUACUUUGUGGUUUUUCUAAGUGUGCGAGAUACUGUCUUGUUUGCAUAAUUGAAGAUAUCACCUUUGAGUCCUCUGAUGACUUUAAAAAAAUUAGUUUCCUAUUAAAACUGAAUUCUAAAAUCCUGUUCUCCAUCACCUGGGCAUGAGAAAUACUUCUUAAAUUUACUAUGACAGUUAAGUAAUUGAACUCAGCAGGUUGUUGCACUGUUUGUGUAGCUCAUUACAUAUGGCAUUGUUGCCAAAACCUUCAGUUAAUAUGUGGACAUUAACAUCUCAGAUGCACAUUCAUUUGCCAAGCAGAGGUUCGCCAUGGGUUGGUUAAGAAUAACUAGUAACAUUGUUCCCCACUCUGGUUCUCAGUAGUUGUCAACCUUUUACAAUUUGGAUUUGGGAUGAUUUUUCUUGUGUAGAUGAAUGCAGUAGCAGAGAUUAUAUCAUGAGACUAGUAAUCCAAAGACCUCAACUAAUGACCUGGAGACACAAAUUAAAAUCCCACCAUGUUAGCUGGGGAAUUUAAUUAUAAAAUUAUAAUUAUAAAUUAAAUUUUAUUAUAUAAAUGAAUUAAUUAAAUAUGAGUAAAUGUCAGUAAUGGUAACCUCCAAACUACCAGAUUUUUGUAAAAACCCACCCAGUUCACUUAUGUCCUUUCUUACCGGACGUAAGGCCUAAUGUAACUGCAGACCCACAGCAACGUGGUUGACUUUGAACUGCCCUCGGGAAUAGCCUAGCAAGCCACUCGGUUGUCAAGGAGGUGGCUUACCGCCGCCCCCUCAAGGGCAAUUAAGGAUAGAUAAUAAAUGCUGUCCUUACUGGUGUCGCCCAUAUCCGGUGAUUAAAUUCAUUUUUAAUAAAUGAUUUGUGAGGAGUCAUUAAAGAUGAUGCAUGGUCCAGAAGCCUGGAGAGUCAAAAGAUUUGCGUAUGGUGCAGUCACUACGAUAAAUAGCUUCUCGAAAAGGGUUUAAGUUUUGUUUUCUUAAACAAAUAAAAACGCUUUAUUUUCCCCGGGGAUUGUGCUUGGACUGCAAAUCUAUGUCAACAUCUCCACCAAUACUUUUCAGAAAUUGACUGCUGGAAGCUGGUCAAGAGUAGUUGCCAAUAUUCACUUAUUGUCCUUUACCCUCAAUGUGGAAGGUUCUUGGUGUCCACUCAGUACCUCAUCAACUAAUGUACUCAAGACAAGUUGCAAAACUUUUUGUGCAACAUUGCAGGUACAAGCCCAUAUCCUAUUGCCAACAAUAGUGCAUUAGGGUUUCAACAUUCUAAACCACUGUGGUGUCUGCUGUAGCUACACCUCGAAAUGUUCAGGUUGCAGCGUAAAUGCAGUCAAAUUACAAUUAACAAUUAAUUAACAUUUUAUUUCCUGUUUGUGUUUAAAAACAAAGGUGGGAUGUGAGAACAAUAGUGCACAGUAUUAGGAGUUCUGAACUGAUUCUUGACCAUGGUGCUUGCAUUUUUUGUUGACAUUGAAGAAGUGGGAAUUUGUAUUCAUGAGGUUAUAUCUGAUUUUAGAAUUCCAUUCCCACACUUUACAAUCAGCUUGAGUCUCAUCUUGUAACCCUUUUUAAACUGAAAAUAAUUGGAAGUUGUGGAAAGCUGGCACCACCAUGAUUUUCAGCUGUAGUGCUUUUUUUCUCUGUUUUGUUUCCCUUGUUUUGUUGUACGCUCCUUCCUUGGUCCAUCAAAGGUAGCGGACAGCCAACCUGUUCCCAGCUCUCUGUGACUGCCAGGAGAUAUCCAUCCCUCUGGACUCAACCUGACAAACAAACCUGGAUUGGUCUCUGCCUGGUAGAAUAAUGUUCGAAGCAAUUGUACUUGAGUUUUAUUUUAUAGUUAGUUACUAAUCAGCUGCUUAUGAUGCAUGGUAAAAUUUAUAUUUUCUGUAGCUUUUUAUUUAACCAGCCGAAAACAAGGGAAAGUAAUGGGUAUGAUGCUAAAUAAGCGGUUCAGAGUUCGCAUCUCACCAUGGCAAGUUGGGAAACUGAAUUUGUUAAAAAGUCUAAUUUGUGGGUUGGCACCAGAUAACUAUGAAAGAUGCUGGAUUAGCAAAAACCCAACUGGUUCAUUAAUAUUCUUCAAGAAAGGGAACAUGCCACCCAUUCCUGUUUUGGCUUGCAUUUGACUCCAGUCCCACAUUAUAGGAUUGACUCUUGAUGCCCUCAGGGCAAUUUAGGGAUGGGUAAUAAAUUGCUGCCUUGCCUGCAACCCCCACUCCUGAGAGAGGAAAAACAAGGAUGUGAGCGUUCAUGGGAAGGGGUAAAGAAUUUGUUACUCGCUCAAGUCAACUGAACUCAAGCUAACAUUUUUCCUUCUGCUUUAAAAGGAUUCUGUGCUUUUCUGAGCGAUGUUCUGAAGUUAAAAGUGGAGGUGCAUUGUUGAGAUUCAGGAGGAGGAGCUUGACUUUGCAUCUGUAAUUUAAUUUGCAUGUUCAAUUAUGGGCUUCCUAUAGUUCCUAGCUAUGAAAAUCAAAGUGUGUAAUAACUGCUUAACAUUGAUUAAACCUAAUUACACUGAUAAAAUUGUCUUUCUCUUAUGCUUUUCCUGCAAAUACCUACAACAGCAACAACAACAACAAAGUGCUAUAAUAACCUUUCAUAAGAGUGUCACAUUGGAGCUAGGCCAUUUAGAAGUGAAACCAGGAAGCACUUAUUCCACCAGGAGGGCAGUAGGAAUCUGAAACUACCUUUCCCCAAAUGGCUGAGGCUGCUGGGACAAUUUCAAGACUCAGAUUGUUGGACAUUUGUUGGGUAAGAAUAUCCGGUGUUGUAGAGUUGAGGUACAGAUCAGCCACAAUCAAAGUGACAGCAGGCAUGAGGAGCCCCUGUUCUUAUAUCCAUAUUUUUGUAAAAACAAUUGUUUCAAGACUGCAAUGGCAGCAAAAUUAUCUUUUUUUAAUUGAAGGAUGGUCAGAAAUUGAAAUACAUUUUAUUCUUGAACUGUAGUUUGCAGGCUUUUUGAUCGACUUGCCAACUAGUAAAUAUAGAACAGCACGAAGUAUUUAACAUUAUAGCUUUCCAUUGACCAACCUCUGCUAAAAGUACUUGCACUGUUUGGGUAUAGAUCCAUAGACAUUGCAACAACCUUUUUUCCUAACUAAAUUCCUUUUUAAAAUAGGGUUGGGGGGGGGGGGAAGGGGGAAAGAAACCAAAAAAAAUUGUGUACAUAUAAAGACUUUGGACCUUCUGUUUGUUAGAAAAGACAUAACAUUUUGGCACAUUCCCAUUUCUUGUAUCUGCUUGUUUCAGUGUUAAAAGUUAUGCUAUAACUUUGCCUUUCAUUCAGGGUAUGCUUCCCCCUUGAGUUAAAAGCAUAAAAUGAUGCUUAAUUUCUUUGAAAUAGGAAACUUAGUCUGAUAUCAUAGGGAGUUGUAGAAAUCAAAAAUGAUAACCUUUAAUAAAAGAGAGGAAAACCACUCUUGUAUUGCGAUCUACAUUUUUGUUUGUCUUUGCUUUUGAGUGCUGUUCUCGGGGAUGGUCUGAUGAAAGUGGACAAUAUUUUCAAGCUGUCCAUUCUGAACUCCUUCCAAAGAGAUUGGAGUAUGACAAGUCUUAUUGCAAUUGUAUAGGGCCUUGAUGAAAUCACACUGGGAGUACUGUGUACAGUUUUGGUCUCCUUACUUAAGGAAGAAUACGCUUGUCUUGGAGGGAGUGCAACAAACAUUCACGAGACAGAUUCCUGGGGUGAGCAGUUGUCCUAUAAAGAGAAAUCAGGUUCGGUCCAUAUUCUGACGUUUCGAAGACAGAAGUCAUUUCAUUAAAACAUAAAAUUCUUAAUGGGCUUCACAAGAUAAAUACUGGAAGGAUUUUUCCCCCACUAGGAGUCUAGAAUUAGAGAUCACAGUUUCAGAAUAAAGAUUGAACCAUUUAGGACUAAGACAAGAAAUGCCUGAACUCAGAAGGGUUGUGAAUCUUUGAAAUUCCCGACAUAAGAUCUGGGGUAUGGAUGGUGUAUGGGUUGAGUAUAUUCAAGCCACAAACUGGUAGGUUUUUGGAUAUGAAGGGAAUUGAGAUAUGGGAAUAUUGUGGGGAAAUGUAGCUGAGGAAGAUGAUCAGUUAAGACUGUUGAAUGGCAAAGCAGGGCUUGAAGGGCAGAAUAGCUUACUCUUGCUCCUAAUUCUUAAAUAAAAUGAGCAGGUGACUUUAAAAUGGGCCAGGGAGUUGAUGUUGUUUCUAGGUGGUGUUGCAAGGAUAUGGGUUGCUAAGCAAUGUUGUUUGUUGUGGAGUACAUUCAUUCCAGUUGCUCCUGAUUUGAAUAAGCCUGAAAUCCCUCUUUUAAGGAAAACUGCCAAUUGCCUGGUAUCUUCUCCCGAAGUGUGGAAUAUUUUAAUUGUAUUUGUGAAUCAUUGAUCGUGAGGUUGACAUUUUCUGCAUUUUAUUAUAAGAAACUUGCUCGCUAAAGAGUAAAGAUCUGCUUUUGAUUCAGUUUUCAGAAAGUGUUCCCAUUAUCUGGCACCAGCUUUUGUCUCUUGAACCAAACAUUAUGACCCCCCAAGUACAAAAAUCAGCACAUUUAGUGAUUUUACCUUGGUGGUUUAUUUGUGUGUUGCCCAUGACCACAACUCACUAACUAACCAACCAAAAUUUUGAGUAACUGAUAGAUGACUGAGUUUACUCAAUUAUAUUCUCUCUACUCUUUUGGAAUCCUCUUCUGACCAAUUUCAUAAGCAAUGCCAAGACUCAAAUCAGCCAGAAAUUGUACCCAAGUAGAAUAGGCUUCUACCAUUCAAUAUAAUAAGACAUUGUACUGAAAUCCUCUCAAAAUAUUAGGUAAAGUACAGUAGCUGUUAUGGAAAACUGGGUUUUAUUGUUUUUUUAACUGCCCGAUGAAUUUUAUUAAAUAGGCCUAGAUACAGAGCUUUCACAAGGUAACAAUAUAUAUGGUACACCUCCAUUUCAGUGUAUAUCAGAAAAUCCAUCCAUCCUUGUUUCUGAACAUAAAACCUUAGACACUAAUUCAAGGAUUGUGUUCUCCACACCAUGGAGUUUACCAUUUGUAAGUAACUGAUAAUAAGUUUAGCUUGUGAAGAUUUGCUGCAUCUCAAAAUAGAAUGCUAAUUUACAGGAACAAUUUCAACUAGAUUAUAUAAAAAACAUUUUAAUUGCACGGUAUACAGAAUUCGUCUGCCUUUUUUUGGUUAUGCAAUAGUAAUGUCACUAAGGGAUCAGGACAUGACAACUCUAAGAUUGUGCAUCUCUCCAAACAAAUAAAAAAUUCUGUCUUAAAAUAAAAAUGUAACCCACACAUAUACAAUUCAAAAUAAUAAAUGCCCGGAAGUGAUUUCAAGGGUUUACUUUUGCAACCAAUUGCCCUGUGAUCUCCAUGAUUAGAUUGCAGUCUUUAUAAAUCACUGCAAGAUAUGUUACACUUUACUUCUGACCCCUUCCAUGACCAUGUCGGGGUGGGGAGGUGCGUGGGUGAAUUCAUGAAAUGUUCACUUCAGAACUUCCUAUGGUAACAGCCACUUGUGAUUGGUUGCUGCACUGUUGGAACACACAUUCAUGGGGUCGUCAGCUCUUAUGUUCAGUGCUUUUUUAGUUAUUGCCUACAAAUUUUCAAAUUUUAAAAAAGAUUCUCCAUCAGGUUUUUGAGAGUAUUAGAUUUAUUGUGUUUUGCUGACCAUCAAAGUCACACUGUGCAGUGAAGACAUCUGCCAUACUUUGCUUGUGUUAAAUUCUUACAACUACCUUUUGUGUCUACUGCUCUGCCUAGUAUUUGCGUAUAGUACAAAAUUGUGUCAUGAUAAAAAUGAUUUCCUGUUAUAUUGUGUUCUGAUAACUUUUUGCUUUUUAUAUAUCUUGUGCUGUAUAUUCAGUGUAACUUUUAGCAGGAAGAAAAUGUUACCUGACCAUAGAUUUGUAGAUAACCUGUUCAGUAUGUAUUAUUGAAACUUUGAAUAAAUUUUUUUUUU
Carcharodon carcharias (great white shark) is the source of this 11071-nucleotide RNA transcript. It is a transcript of the gene named vascular endothelial zinc finger 1-like, with no coding region annotated. The transcript is spliced from 9 exons. The record is from RefSeq and is a predicted model, not a curated record. Lineage: Eukaryota; Metazoa; Chordata; Chondrichthyes; Lamniformes; Lamnidae.